This 494-nucleotide ribosomal RNA is filed under the name uncultured bacterium. Its description in RNAcentral is "bacterial SSU rRNA". It matches the Rfam family "Bacterial small subunit ribosomal RNA", at positions 29 to 524 of the family's 1533-position model. The record is from RNAcentral.
AGCGAACGUUUGCGGCGGGCCUAACACAUGCAAGUCGAACGCACUAGCAAUAGUGAGUGGCGCACGGGUGCGUAACACGUGGGUAAUCAACCCUUCAGCUUGGGAUAACGACUUGAAAGGGUCGCUAAUACCGGAUACGGCGCGGGAGGCUUCGGCUUCUCACGAGAAAGCCUCGCAAGGGGCACUGAAGGACGAGCCUGCGGCCCAUCAGCUAGUUGGUGAGGUAAGAGCUCACCAAGGCGAAGACGGGUAGCUGGUCUGAGAGGAUGAUCAGCCACACUGGAACUGAGACACGGUCCAGACUCCUACGGGAGGCAGCAGUGGGGAAUAUUGCGCAAUGGGCGAAAGCCUGAACCAGCCAUGCCGCGUGCAGGAAGACGGCCCUAUGGGUUGUAAACUGCUUUUGUCAGGGAAUAAACCUUUGUACGAGAUACAGAGCUGAAGGUACCUGAAGAAUAAGCAUCGGCUAACUCCGUGCCAGCAGCCGCGGUAAU